Molecule: ribosomal RNA, 450 nt
Filed under: uncultured bacterium
Lineage: Bacteria
Description: partial 16S ribosomal RNA
Rfam family: Bacterial small subunit ribosomal RNA
Source: RNAcentral
AGCGAACGCUGGCGGCAGGCCUAACACAUGCAAGUCGAACGGAUCCUUCGGGAUUAGUGGCGGACGGGUGAGUAACACGUGGGAACGUGCCCUUUGGUUCGGAACAACUCAGGGAAACUUGAGCUAAUACCGGAUGUGCCCUUCGGGGGAAAGAUGUUAUCGCCAUUGGAGCGGCCCGCGUCUGAUUAGCUAGUUGGUGAGGUAAAGGCUCACCAAGGCGACGAUCAGUAGCUGGUCUGAGAGGAUGAUCAGCCACAUUGGGACUGAGACACGGCCCGAACUCCUACGGGAGGCAGCAGUGGGGAAUCUUGCGCAAUGGGCGAAAGCCUGACGCAGCCAUGCCGCGUGAAUGAUGAAGGUCUUAGGAUUGUAAAAUUCUUUCACCGGGGACGAUAAUGACGGUACCCGGAGAAGAAGCCCCGGCUAACUUCGUGCCAGCCGCCGCAGUAA